RNAcentral lists this small nuclear RNA (82 nucleotides) under Canis lupus familiaris (dog). Its description in RNAcentral is "U4 spliceosomal RNA (multiple genes)". It matches the Rfam family "U4 spliceosomal RNA", at positions 1 to 82 of the family's 138-position model. From Rfam's summary of the family: U4 small nuclear RNA (U4 snRNA) is a component of the major U2-dependent spliceosome. The structure of U4 snRNA from yeast and human has been reported. Lineage: Eukaryota; Metazoa; Chordata; Mammalia; Carnivora; Canidae. The record is from Rfam by way of RNAcentral. RNAcentral also lists the same sequence under 1 other name.
AGCUUUGUGCAGUAGCAGUAUCAGAGCCAAUGAGGUUUAUCCAAGGCACAAUUAUUGCUAAUUGAAAACUUUUCCCAUUUAG